This is a long non-coding RNA of Humulus lupulus (European hop), 206 nucleotides long. RefSeq lists it as uncharacterized. Lineage: Eukaryota; Viridiplantae; Streptophyta; Magnoliopsida; Rosales; Cannabaceae. The record is from RefSeq and is a predicted model, not a curated record. The transcript is spliced from 3 exons.
UUAUUGCACUUCUUGAUGUUUGCAGGGCUUGUAGUCCCAGAUGUUCCAUUAGAAGAGACUGAUAAUUUAAGAAAGGAAGCUCUGAAAAAGAAUAUUGUACUGGUAUUGCUAACCACACCCACUACUCCUAAUGAUCGAAUGAAAGCCAUUGUUCAAGCUGCUGAAGGAUUUGUCUAUCUGGAUUAAUUGUUGAUUGCAAUUUGAGC